RNAcentral lists this ribosomal RNA (690 nucleotides) under uncultured Acidobacteriota bacterium. RNAcentral describes it as "bacterial SSU rRNA". It matches the Rfam family "Bacterial small subunit ribosomal RNA", at positions 15 to 690 of the family's 1533-position model. Lineage: Bacteria; Pseudomonadati; Acidobacteriota. The record is from RNAcentral.
GAUCCUGGCUCAGAAUCAACGCUGGCGGCGUGCCUCAGACAUGCAAGUCGUACGUGAAAGUCCUUCGGGAUGAGUAAAGCGGCGCACGGGUGAGUAACACGUGAGUUAUCUGCCUUUGGGUGGGGAAUACCAACCGGAAACGGUUGUUAAUACCGCAUAACGCUUGCGCUGUAAUGGCGUAUGUUAAAGCGGGGGAUCAGCAAUGACCUCGCGCCUGAAGAGGAGCUCGCGGCAGAUUAGGUAGUUGGUAAGGUAAUGGCUUACCAAGCCUGCGAUCUGUAACCGGCCUGAGAGGGCGGUCGGUCACACUGACACUGACAUACGGGUCAGACUCCUACGGGAGGCAGCAGUCGGGAAUUUUGGGCAAUGGGCGAAAGCCUGACCCAGCAACGCCGCGUGAAGGAUGAAGCAUUUCGGUGUGUAAACUUCGCAAGAAUAGGAAGAAUAAGUUUGAACAAAUAAUUCAAACGAUGACGGUACUAUUUAUAAGCUCCGGCUAACUUCGUGCCAGCAGCCGCGGUAAUACGAGGGGAGCAAGCGUUGUUCGGAUUUACUGGGCGUAAAGGGUGCGUAGGCGGCACCACAAGUCACUUGUGAAAUCUUUGGGCUUAACCCAAAGCGGCCAAGUGAUACUGUGGAGCUAGAGUGCAGAAGGGGCAACUGGAAUUCCCGGUGUAGCGGUGAAAUGCG